GUGCCAGCCGCCGCGGUAAUACGGAGGGAGCUAGCGUUGUUCGGAAUUACUGGGCGUAAAGCGCGCGUAGGCGGCUCAUCAAGUCAGGGGUGAAAUCCCGGGGCUCAACCCCGGAACUGCCCUUGAAACUGGUAGGCUAGAAUCCUGGAGAGGCGAGUGGAAUUCCGAGUGUAGAGGUGAAAUUCGUAGAUAUUCGGAAGAACACCAGUGGCGAAGGCGACUCGCUGGACAGGUAUUGACGCUGAGGUGCGAAAGCGUGGGGAGCAAACAGGAUUAGAUACCCGUGUAGUCCGGCUGACUGACU
Molecule: ribosomal RNA, 304 nt
Filed under: uncultured Erythrobacteraceae bacterium
Lineage: Bacteria; Pseudomonadati; Pseudomonadota; Alphaproteobacteria; Sphingomonadales; Erythrobacteraceae
Description: bacterial SSU rRNA
Rfam family: Bacterial small subunit ribosomal RNA
Source: RNAcentral